CAGUAGGGAGGAAGGUAGUGUAGUUAACACCUGCAUUAUUUGACGUUACCUACAGAAGAAGCACCGGCUAACUCCGUGCCAGCAGCCGCGGUAAUACGGAGGGUGCGAGCGUUAAUCGGAAUUACUGGGCGUAAAGCGCAUGCAGGCGGCCUGUUAAGUCAGAUGUGAAAGACCCGGGGCGUUAACCUCGGAAUUGCAUUUGUAAACUAGGCAGGCUAGAGUCUUGUAGAGGGGGGUAGGGAAUUUACUAGGUGUAGCGGUGAAAUAGCGUAGAGAUCUGAAGGAAUACCAGUGGCGAAGGCGGCCCCCCUGGACAAAGACUGACGCUCAGAUGCGAAAGCGUGGGGAGCAAACAGGAUUAGAUACCCUGGUAG
RNAcentral lists this ribosomal RNA (374 nucleotides) under uncultured bacterium. RNAcentral's name for it is "bacterial SSU rRNA". It matches the Rfam family "Bacterial small subunit ribosomal RNA", at positions 434 to 793 of the family's 1533-position model. The record is from RNAcentral.